UACAGAGGUCUCAAGCGUUGUUCGGAUUCAUUGGGCGUAAAGGGUGCGUAGGCGGCGUGGUAAGUCGGGUGUGAAAACUCGAGGCUUAACCUCGAGAUGUCAUCGGAAACCAUUUGGCUAGAGUCCGGAAGAGGAGAGUGGAAUUCCUGGUGUAGCGGUGAAAUGCGCAGAUAUCAGGAAGAACACCAAUGGCGAAAGCAGCUCUCUGGGACGGUACUGACGCUGAGACGCGAAAACGUGGGGAGCGAACAGG
RNAcentral lists this ribosomal RNA (253 nucleotides) under uncultured bacterium. RNAcentral describes it as "partial 16S ribosomal RNA". It matches the Rfam family "Bacterial small subunit ribosomal RNA", at positions 524 to 776 of the family's 1533-position model. The record is from RNAcentral.